Molecule: RNase P RNA, 380 nt
Filed under: Roseicyclus persicicus
Lineage: Bacteria; Pseudomonadati; Pseudomonadota; Alphaproteobacteria; Rhodobacterales; Roseobacteraceae
Description: Roseibacterium persicicum Bacterial RNase P class A
Rfam family: Bacterial RNase P class A
About the family: Ribonuclease P (RNase P) is a ubiquitous endoribonuclease, found in archaea, bacteria and eukarya as well as chloroplasts and mitochondria.
Source: Rfam by way of RNAcentral
GCGGAGGGCCGGAUGGCCGCGGGCGGGCGACCGCUCGAGGAAAGUCCGGACUCCCUGAAGCCACGGUGCCGGGUAACGCCCGGGCGGAGCGAUCCGACGGACAGCGCCACAGAAAUGAAACUACCCUUGUCCGCAGGGGAAAAGGUGAAACGGUGGGGUAAGAGCCCACCGCGCGACGGGCAACCGGAGCGGCACGGCAAGCCCCACCGGGAGCAAUGCCGAAUAGGGAUGCCGCGGGGGCGACCCCGGGGGCCGGCUUCGCCCCCAGGCAUCCGGGUUGGCAGCUUGAGGCGCGGGGGCAACCCCGCGUCCAGAGGAAUGGCCAUCCAGAGGGGGGCGACCCCCUUGGACAGAAUCCGGCUUACAGGCCCUCCGCGCAA